This 1407-nucleotide ribosomal RNA is filed under the name uncultured bacterium. RNAcentral's name for it is "bacterial SSU rRNA". It matches the Rfam family "Bacterial small subunit ribosomal RNA". The record is from RNAcentral.
GAUGAACGCUGGCGGCGUGCUUAACACAUGCAAGUCGAACGAACCUUCGGGUUAGUGGCGGACGGGUGAGUAACGCGUGAGAAUCUGCCCUCAGGAGGGGGAUAACGGUUGGAAACGACCGCUAAUACCCCAUAUGCCGAGAGGUGAAAUGAAAUUCGCCUGAGGAUGAGCUCGCGUCUGAUUAGCUAGUUGGUAGGGUAAAGGCCUACCAAGGCAUUGAUCAGUAGCUGGUCUGAGAGGAUGAUCAGCCACACUGGGACUGAGACACGGCCCAGACUCCUACGGGAGGCAGCAGUGGGGAAUUUUCCGCAAUGGGCGCAAGCCUGACGGAGCAACGCCGCGUGAGGGAUGAAGGCCUCUGGGCUGUAAACCUCUUUUAUCAAGGAAGAAGAACUGACGGUACUUGAUGAAUAAGCCACGGCUAAUUCCGUGCCAGCAGCCGCGGUAAUACGGGAGUGGCAAGCGUUAUCCGGAAUUAUUGGGCGUAAAGCGUCCGCAGGCGGCCUUGAAAGUCUGUCGUUAAAGCGUGGAGCUUAACUCCAUUUCGGCGGUGGAAACUACAAGGCUUGAGUGUGGUAGGGGCAGAGGGAAUUCCCGGUGUAGCGGUGAAAUGCGUAGAUAUCGGGAAGAACACCAGUGGCGAAGGCGCUCUGCUGGGCCAUAACUGACGCUCAUGGACGAAAGCCAGGGGAGCGAAAGGGAUUAGAUACCCCUGUAGUCCUGGCCGUAAACGAUGAACACUAGGUGUCGGGGGAAUCGACCCCCUCGGUGUCGUAGCUAACGCGUUAAGUGUUCCGCCUGGGGAGUACGCACGCAAGUGUGAAACUCAAAGGAAUUGACGGGGGCCCGCACAAGCGGUGGAGUAUGUGGUUUAAUUCGAUGCAACGCGAAGAACCUUACCAGGGUUUGACAUCCUGCGAAUCCCUUGGAAACUAGGGAGUGCCUUCGGGAGCGCAGAGACAGGUGGUGCAUGGCUGUCGUCAGCUCGUGUCGUGAGAUGUUGGGUUAAGUCCCGCAACGAGCGCAACCCACGUCUUUAGUUGCCAGCAUUUAGUUGGGCACUCUAGAGAGACCGCCGGUGAUAAACCGGAGGAAGGUGUGGAUGACGUCAAGUCAUCAUGCCCCUUACAUCCUGGGCUACACACGUACUACAAUGCUACGGACAAAGGGUUGCAAACUCGCGAGAGCUAGCUAAUCCCAUAAACCGUGGCUCAGUUCAGAUCGUAGGCUGCAACUCGCCUACGUGAAGGAGGAAUCGCUAGUAAUCGCAGGUCAGCAUACUGCGGUGAAUACGUUCCCGGGCCUUGUACACACCGCCCGUCACACCAUGGAAGUUGGCCACGCCCGAAGUCGUUACUCCAACCCUUGUGGAGGAGGAUGCCGAAGGUGGGGCUGAUGACUGGGGUG